CCGACCCCUGUGUUAGACCUUUGUCUCUUGUGCUUUUUAUUUAAUUUUACAUCCCAGUUAGGUACAAAUGUCCUCCCAGGUGUCUCCUGUUGCCCUUAUCAGUUUGUGUAUUUAUUCCCUCAGUUUGUCUUAGUUCUUUGUCAUGGCCUCUCCCAGAUCCUCAUGCGUGAGUGUGUCUGAGCUUUGUUUUUCCUUAGUUUUUUCUUUCCUUGCUCCUGGCUGUCCUAUAUUUUGUACCGUGUUGGGGUUUAGCAUUGAAGUUGCCUUUUUAUUAACUAUUUUCUGUUUGGAGACAAAUAGAGGAACAAUCAGUGAAAACUGUAGAAGAAAGUUGGUGGUUGCAUUCUUAAUAAGUGUUGUAUUCAAAAUUACCAGCAGUUUUGGUUUUUUUUACAUCUUCGACUGGACAUCAAUAAGUCAAAGAUUCAUAUUUAAAGUAUUUGUAAUGGCCUUCCUCUGUGUUUUGCUUUUCGGUAUGUAAGUAUUUUAAGUUGCCAUAUGCUUGCCUUAUUUUUAAUUGUACAAAUUGUUAUUUUUUAUUUUUAUUUGCAUUUGUUUUAUUUUUUAUUCGUUGCUGCUAACAGCGUGUGCAGACACAACACUGCCUCGUCUUUGGAUGGAUCAAAGGUCAGAGGUCGCGUACAAGGACCGGACUGACAGAUGUUCAGAAAGUUGGAGAGUUAUUGCUCAAGAGCGCUUCAGAGAUUAGUCUGAAGCCAGAAGCCAAAUAUAAAGCAGUGAGGGGGGGCUCAAGACUUUUGCACAGCAUGCUGGCUGGGUGUUUUAAUAAAGAUAAAAUGAAGAUGGCGGAUUUAGCAGGUGGUGGUGCAGACAUAGCUCCAACUUUCAAAUGGUCACGAUUAAAACCAGAGAUACUGUAUAUAAAACAACUGAUGGGAGGGUAAUUGUAGAGGAUGAACUACUUAAUUUCCUUGCUGUAAAAAUCAAAACUUUAAGUCAGGAUGAAAUUGUGUUGUUGGCCACGAACACAUUUGACUGUGAGGGGAAUGAAGCCUUCAAGAAAGUUUCAUUUGAGCUCUGCCCUGCUACCUCACAGCGGUGCGUUGGAUAUAAAGGACAGCAUAAAGACGCCAACAAUAUUAAACUCUGUCUUAAAGUGCUGAAUGAGUGUGGGGAGAAUACCCCAAGAUUUGUCUCUCAUCACCUGAACUAUUUGCCGCCUGUUACAUACUCCAGCAUGGAUGUGUGUUGUCUACUAUGGCGAAUGGACCAGCUGUGUGCUGAGGUGGGUGCUUUAAAACAUGUAGUUAAACUACAGGCGAAUGUCUGCAAGCAAGUUAUGACCAAUGCUGUGGAGGUCAACCAACGUGUGACUGCUCUUGAGUGUCGGUCUGAGGUGCCGGCUGAGCCUGUUACUCUGAAUGCUCAGGGGUCGGGGACCGCUUCCCACUUUCCCCUGGGUAAACACGCAGAGGAUUGGUGGGGGAGUCGAAGUAAAGGUGGCCCGUGCGGAAGGCAGGGAGCCGGAGCUUUGGCUGCUUCAAGGACUGGGACAAGCACAGUGUCAGCGUUUUGUCCGGAGAUGUUGCCAUGUGGUCAAGAUCGGGCUCCGACGACAGCCUCAGGUCGUAAUAUGGAAACUACAGCAACAACGUGAGACAGUGCUUUCUACAUGCUCCCCGCAAUGGAGUAAAGUUGUGAAAAAUGGCAAGCCUCGUCACAAGCUGGAGAAGGUUAAUUCGGGUUCAGGAAUGCAUGCUGCUACCACUGGACACAAUAAGAGGCCUGGACCUGUAUCGAUUAUCGGCACUGGAGCUGUGAGUACAAUUAGAACUGUGAAAACUAAAUUGGUGAGCGUGUUUGCCACUAAAUUUGCCCUGGAUGUAGAUGCAGAAACUCUUGCGCUGUAUUUGAGAGAGAAACUCAAAAGAGAUGUGACCUGUCAAAAAAUUGCUAGUAAACGUAGCAGGUUCGGCUCUUUCAAGAUUACUGCUGAAUGUAAUGAUGUGGGUGAAAUGUACAGUCCUGAACUUUGGCCUGAAGGGGCUCUGGUCCGGCGUUUUUAUGAACCUCGUAAGCCCGGUACGGUGGUGCCAAGCUCAGGGGAUCCAGCAGGGGAGAUAACUGCGCCUUCUGGCACCAGCGUAACAACAUGAAUAUGUCUAUUCGGGUAUUAUCUUACAACUGUCGUGGUCUACGUUUGGGACA
Molecule: long non-coding RNA, 2169 nt
Organism: Oreochromis niloticus (Nile tilapia)
Lineage: Eukaryota; Metazoa; Chordata; Actinopteri; Cichliformes; Cichlidae
Exons: 2
Source: RefSeq, a predicted model, not a curated record